AACGAACGCUGGCGGCAGGCCUAACACAUGCAAGUCGAGCGAGACCUUCGGGUCUAGCGGCGGACGGGUGAGUAACGCGUGGGAAUAUGCCCUUUGGUACGGAAUAGCCUCGGGAAACUGAGAGUAAUACCGUAUGCGCCCUUCGGGGGAAAGAUUUAUCGCCAAAGGAUUAGCCUGCGUUGGAUUAGGUAGUUGGUGGGGUAAUGGCCUACCAAGCCUACGAUCCAUAGCUGGUUUGAGAGGAUGAUCAGCCACACUGGGACUGAGACACGGCCCAGACUCCUACGGGAGGCAGCAGUGGGGAAUCUUAGACAAUGGGGGCAACCCUGAUCUAGCCAUGCCGCGUGAGUGAUGAAGGCCUUAGGGUUGUAAAGCUCUUUCAGCUGGGAAGAUAAUGACGGUACCAGCAGAAGAAGCCCCGGCUAACUCCGUGCCAGCCGCCGCGGUAA
Molecule: ribosomal RNA, 449 nt
Filed under: uncultured bacterium
Lineage: Bacteria
Description: partial 16S ribosomal RNA
Rfam family: Bacterial small subunit ribosomal RNA
Source: RNAcentral